RNAcentral lists this ribosomal RNA (253 nucleotides) under uncultured bacterium. Its description in RNAcentral is "partial 16S ribosomal RNA". It matches the Rfam family "Bacterial small subunit ribosomal RNA", at positions 524 to 776 of the family's 1533-position model. The record is from RNAcentral.
UACGUAGGGUGCGAGCGCUAAUCGGAAUUACUGGGCGUAAAGCGUGCGCAGGCGGUUUUGUAAGCCAGAUGUGAAAUCCCCGGGCUUAACCUGGGAAUGGCAUUUGGGACUGCAAGGCUGGAGUGCGGCAGAGGAGACUGGAAUUCCUGGUGUAGCAGUGAAAUGCGUAGAUAUCAGGAGGAACACCGAUGGCGAAGGCAGGUCUCUGGGCUGACACUGACGCUCAUGCACGAAAGCGUGGGGAGCAAACAGG